GGGGGUUCACCAAGCUUUGAUACAGCAAAAUAUGCCAAAACUUGGUCUGCAUCACCAAGGCCUUUACUUUGGAACCAAGGCUCUAGCAUCCCAUUCUGGAAAAAUACCAAAUCGCUCCAACGAGAUUUAGGGGUAGCUUCAAGAACAGCUUCAAGAUCAUCAUUCCUAGUGCAAACCAAUAUUGGACCUACAAAAUCAAUAGGAACUGGUUCACCCCUUUUAACCAAAACAUCAUCUCCAUUACCCAAAUCUUGUAAAGCUCUUCCCACACGUCCACCUCCAACUAUGAUAGCAGGAGCAACCAUGUUGCCUGAGGUGGAAAUUGAUGCUCUAAUUUUAAAAUUCUGGUUGAUUCUUGAAAUUGGUUUGUGCCAAAAUGUUGAGUUAGAGAGAGUGACAGUGUUCACCAUUGCUGCUGCUGCCUUCAUGGUAGGCAAAAUCUGGGGCCA
This 449-nucleotide unclassified non-coding RNA is filed under the name Hevea brasiliensis (rubber tree). The record is from RNAcentral. Lineage: Eukaryota; Viridiplantae; Streptophyta; Magnoliopsida; Malpighiales; Euphorbiaceae.